GAUAGAAUGGUUUUAACAACUUCCAGGAGCAGUGAGAAACCCCGUUCAAACCCUAACCACACUUCUCACCCAAUUUGUUAAAUUUGAGCCCCUCGCCGCGUGCCGGACCGCACCCAAUGCAAAGCUUCUUCUUCUGCGCUACAUAUUUGUAACACUUCAGGUAUACUCUUUGCUUCCUCUUUUAGACAUUUCUCACAAGUAUAGCAACCAUCGUUAGUUCGCUUUUGGAUUUUAUUUACUCAGAAUGCUAGAAAAAUGAUUAAGUUACUCUGUGUCGGAUGGGGGCAGCGUAAUUUUUAAAAUAAGUGUCUCGUAGAGGAGGGGACUGUAAUUUUCUGUGACUUUCUUUUUGAAUAAUUUUGUACAAUGUUUGCGUUAUAAUUUUGAUAGUCAUUCACCACCUAUUGAGUGUUUCAUAGGGUUGUUUCAGUUUUGAAUUUGAG
RNAcentral lists this long non-coding RNA (443 nucleotides) under Vigna radiata. Its description in RNAcentral is "long non-coding RNA (VRAD_LNC005174)". Lineage: Eukaryota; Viridiplantae; Streptophyta; Magnoliopsida; Fabales; Fabaceae. The record is from RNAcentral.